This 571-nucleotide ribosomal RNA is filed under the name Trichosporon sp. SU16S02. RNAcentral's name for it is "eukaryotic LSU rRNA". It matches the Rfam family "Eukaryotic large subunit ribosomal RNA", at positions 89 to 650 of the family's 3401-position model. The record is from RNAcentral. Lineage: Eukaryota; Fungi; Basidiomycota; Tremellomycetes; Trichosporonales; Trichosporonaceae.
GCGAGUGAACCGGGAAAAGCUCAAAUUUGAAAUCUGGCUGUCUUCGAUAGUCCGAGUUGUAAUCUAUAGAAGUGUUUUCCGUGCUGAACUGUGUCUAAGUCCCUUGGAACAGGGUAUCAAAGAGGGUGACAAUCCCGUACUUGACACAAUCAUCAGUGCUCUGUGAUACAUUCUCUACGAGUCGAGUUGUUUGGGAAUGCAGCUCAAAAUGGGUGGUAAAUUCCAUCUAAAGCUAAAUAUUGGCGAGAGACCGAUAGCGAACAAGUACCGUGAGGGAAAGAUGAAAAGCACUUUGGAAAGAGAGUUAAACAGUACGUGAAAUUGUUGAAAGGGAAACGAUUGAAGUCAGUCGUGUUCAUUGGAUUCAGCUAGUUCUUCUAGUCUACUUCCUUUGAACGGGUCAACAUCAGUUUUGUCCGGUGGAUAAAGGCAGUAGGAAUGUGGCUUCUUCGGAAGUGUUAUAGCCUAUUGUCACAUACACUGGAGGAGACUGAGGACUGCAGCUCGCCUUUUGGCCGGGGUUCGCCCACGUUCGAGCUUAGGAUGUUGACAUAAUGGCUUUAAACGACCC